UAUCACCUUUUGAGUUUGUUCUUGUGGGUUUCGAGGAGUUUAAAAGCCUUCGGAUUUGCUAGGAUUGGGCUCUUUUGGUGUACUUUCUCGUACGGUUAGUCAACAUCGGUUUUGAAUGUCAUAAAAUGACUGGAGGAAUGUGGCUUCGAUCUCGCAUCGAGGUGUUAUAACCUUUGGUAGAUGUGAUGUUCGAGACCGAGGAUUGCAACGGAUACCUUCUGGGCUAUUCGUCUGAUCUCUGAUACGUUGCCUUGAUGUCGAAAGCGUGCUUAUGAUGUUAGGGUAUUACGGUCAAAAGGUUAGAACGGAUUAAAUUCGUUAAGGAUGUUGACGUA
RNAcentral lists this ribosomal RNA (335 nucleotides) under uncultured Glomeromycotina. RNAcentral describes it as "eukaryotic LSU rRNA". Lineage: Eukaryota; Fungi; Glomeromycota. The record is from RNAcentral.